CCCGAGGGAACAUACGUAACCUUCCGUUUCCAUGUGUGGAAUUUUUUUUACAGGUCUUUGGAGACAAAGACAGCUGGCAAGAAAGAACCAAGAGAGAGUGGGGGCACUUUAAAGGGGGAACAAGAAAGAACUAUACCAAGGAGGAGAUCAGCAUCCGUGCCCCGCCUCAGACCACAGACAGAUUCCAGUACAGAUUCGGAGCAUACCCAGUCUGAAGACAUGACACCGAAGCACAUCCGAGCAUCGCUUUUGAUGUCACACACGACCCGGAGAGCGAGGGCUGAAACUAGACGAAGCCCAAAGACCCACACAAAUGGCCAGAAGCGUAGCAUAUCUGCUGAGAGAUCGGAUGCGAGAAAUGAUGAGGCCGAAAGCAGAGGAAGGCCAGUACCUUUGUGCUUGAGCUGCUUGGCACGACGCAACAGAACCUCUGGAUGUCAAGCAAGAAACGUUAGCUCACCUAGUCACACUCGUUACUACUCUAAUCACUGUCCACUGUGUGGAGCAACAAACAGAGAGACAGUCCUUAGACCUGCAAAACAAAGCUCCAUGCAGAAGGAAACUCGGCCAGUGAGGUCCACACACAUGCAGACGGGGGGUAUGUACCUGGCAGUAGGACCUCCCCCUCCAGUGAUUGGCAGCGUGCCUGUGCUCCAGUGUGUGCCGGUCUGUCCUUCAGUCCUCUACUACUCCAGCCCUGUGGUGUCAGCCUCCUACCAAAAGCCUCUUUACUUUUCACUGAGUGACGGGAAAGGCUACAGGGGUCACCGUAGGCGCUCUCAAUCUGUAGACGCACAGCGCUCUCUCAAC
Long non-coding RNA from Ictalurus punctatus (channel catfish), 810 nucleotides. The record is from Ensembl. NCBI's taxonomy places the organism in Eukaryota, Metazoa, Chordata, Actinopteri, Siluriformes, Ictaluridae.